RNAcentral lists this transfer RNA (68 nucleotides) under Andrias davidianus (Chinese giant salamander). Its description in RNAcentral is "tRNA-Ser". RNAcentral also lists the same sequence under 1 other name. Lineage: Eukaryota; Metazoa; Chordata; Amphibia; Caudata; Cryptobranchidae. The record is from RNAcentral.
GAGAGGGGUUAUGAAACACAGAAGUUGCUAACUAUCUACUACCUUAGCUAGAAUCUAAGGCCCACUCG